CUGCGAGUGAAGCGGGAAAAGCUCAAAUUUAAAAUCUGGCAGUCUUUGAUUGUCCGAGUUGUAAUCUGGAGAAGCGUCUUCUGCGCUGGACCGUGUACAAGUCUCUUGGAACAGAGCGUCAUAGAGGGUGAGAAUCCCGUCUUUGACACGGACUACCAGUGCUUUGUGAAACGCUCUCAAAGAGUCGAGUUGUUUGGGAAUGCAGCUCAAAAUGGGUGGUAAAUUCCAUCUAAAGCUAAAUAUUGGCGAGAGACCGAUAGCGAACAAGUACCGUGAGGGAAAGAUGAAAAGCACUUUGGAAAGAGAGUUAAACAGUACGUGAAAUUGCUGAAAGGGAAACGCUUGAAGUCAGUCGCGUCUGCUAGUACUCAGCCUUCCUUCUGGUUGGUGCAUUUACUAGUUGACGGGCCAGCAUCAGUUUUGGUCGCGGGAUAAAGGUCAGAGGAAUGUGGCACCUUCGGGUGUGUUAUAGCCUCUGGUCAUAUACCGUGGCUGGGACUGAGGAUCUCAGCACGCCUUUAUGGCGGGGGUUCGCCCACCUUCGUGCUUAGGAUGCUGGCGUAAUGGCUUUAAACGACCCGUCUUGAAACACGGACCAAGGAGUCUAACAUGCCUGCGAGUGUUUGGGGUGGGAAAACCCGAGCGCGUAAUGAAAGUAAUAGUUGGGGAUCCCUGUCGUGGGGAGCACCGACGCCCGGACC
RNAcentral lists this ribosomal RNA (701 nucleotides) under Phlebiopsis flavidoalba. RNAcentral describes it as "partial 28S ribosomal RNA". It matches the Rfam family "Eukaryotic large subunit ribosomal RNA", at positions 87 to 771 of the family's 3401-position model. Lineage: Eukaryota; Fungi; Basidiomycota; Agaricomycetes; Polyporales; Phanerochaetaceae. The record is from RNAcentral.